Molecule: ribosomal RNA, 468 nt
Filed under: uncultured bacterium
Lineage: Bacteria
Description: partial 16S ribosomal RNA
Rfam family: Bacterial small subunit ribosomal RNA
Source: RNAcentral
GACGAACGCUGGCGGCGUGCUUAACACAUGCAAGUCGAACGGAAAGGCCCUGCUUUUGUUGGGUGCUCGAGUGGCGAACGGGUGAGUAACACGUGAGUAACCUGCCCUUGACUUUGGGAUAACUUCAGGAAACUGGGGCUAAUACCGGAUAGGAGCUCCUGCUGCAUGGUGGGGGUUGGAAAGAUUCGGCGGUUGGGGAUGGACUCGCGGCUUAUCAGCUUGUUGGGGGGGUAGUGGCUUACCAAGGCUUUGACGGGUAGCCUGCCUGAGAGGGUGACCGGCCACAUUGGGACUGAGAUACGGCCCAGACUCCUACGGGAGGCAGCAGUGGGGAAUAUUGCACAAUGGGCGGAAGCCUGAUGCAGCAACGCCGCGUGCGGGAUGACGGCCUUCGGGUUGUAAACCGCUUUCGCCUGUGACGAAGCGUGAGUGACGGUAAUGGGUAAAGAAGCACCGGCUAACUACGUG